RNAcentral lists this unclassified non-coding RNA (608 nucleotides) under Hevea brasiliensis (rubber tree). Lineage: Eukaryota; Viridiplantae; Streptophyta; Magnoliopsida; Malpighiales; Euphorbiaceae. The record is from RNAcentral.
UCAAGUUCUUAUUCUCACAAGGAGGAUAUCAUGAUAAUUUACAAAAGGAGAGGCGGAAGUGAUAAACUUCUAUCCCAUAGUGACUGGUUACGCACUGUUCAAUUUGAGCCUGAUGUAAUCUCAAUGUCCUUUAUUCCAAUUACCUCUCUAUUGAAUGGAGUCCCAGGGAAUGGAUUCUUGAGCCACGCCGUAAAUCUAUAUCUACGAUAUAAGCCCCCAAUUGAAGAGCUACACCAGUUUUUGGAAUUUCAGCUGCCAAGGCAAUGGGCACCAGUGUUUAGUGAACUUCCCCUUGGGCCACAACGGAAGCAGCACAGUACAGCAUCUUUACAAUUUAGUCUCAUAGGCCCUAAGCUUUUUGUAAACACCAGUCCAGUUGAUGUUGGUAAGAGGCCAGUGACUGGUCUUCGGCUUUAUCUAGAAGGCAAACGAAGCAAUCGCUUGGCCAUUCACUUGCAGCACCUUUCAUCUCUUCCGAAAAUCUUCCAACUCGCAGAUGAUCCACAUGGUAAUUUCCGUCAGGAUUCCUAUGAUCAUAAAUACUAUGAGAAAGUACAAUGGAAGAAUUUCUCUCAUGUCUGUACUGCUCCUGUUGAGUCUGAUGAGGA